This is a long non-coding RNA of Musca domestica (house fly), 784 nucleotides long. RefSeq lists it as uncharacterized. NCBI's taxonomy places the organism in Eukaryota, Metazoa, Arthropoda, Insecta, Diptera, Muscidae. The transcript has 3 exons. The record is from RefSeq and is a predicted model, not a curated record.
AAAAUCUAAUUUUUAGUACUCAUUGUUGAAAGGAAAAAUCAUUGAAUAACUGGUGUCUAUGAAUGGAAAUUCCAAAUUCUCGCUUUCCAACAUUUUAUAAAGAAGAAUCUGCUUCGCUGAUGAUGCCAAACGGGUGUGAAUACUAUCAAAUAUCUAACAUCAAUCCCAAUUAAGCUGAGUUGGACAGCUGAAAAACUAACUUAACUGUGGGUGUUUUUUGUCAGAUUUACUGGAUCCCUAAACAAAUGAAAACAAAGGUAACAAAAAUUGAUAUCUUACUUGAAUGAUAUCUUACUUCAAUCAUCAAAUAACUCAAUACCCGGAAGAAAGCUCAUCGAUGACUCUUGCAUAGUUGUUCGACAGCUAACCGAUCGUUUUUUAACUUCAUGUUGAUAGCUCGUAAGUAGGUAAACAUAUAUUCGUAAUAGAUCGUAGAUGCCCGUCGACUGUAAGUCGAUAGCUUGUCAGUGAGUGGAAAAUAUCUCAGCGAUAGCAUGUCGGUAGCACGUUUAAAGCUCAUCGGUACACAGAGAAAAAAAUUAACCUUAUACAAGGUUAGAUUAACCAUAAAUAAACAUGAUUUGGAGUCUACGUUAUGUAAGGUUAAUUUAAACAUUUUCUUGUUGACUGGUAUUUAAAAAUAAUCAUCGUUAAUUUAGCUAUUCCAUGAUUGACUUUUUUAACCACGAAAAUUGUUGAUAUUGAAAAAAAAUUGUUGUUUUAACAAUGCACUGUUAAAUUUUUGUAAUCAUGAGAAUUGUUAAUAAUAACAUUUCAUAGUCAG